GAUGAACGCUGGCGGCGUGCCUAAUACAUGCAAGUCGAGCGAACAGACGAGGAGCUUGCUCCUUUGACGUUAGCGGCGGACGGGUGAGUAACACGUGGGUAACCUACCUAUAAGACUGGGAUAACUUUGGGAAACCGGAGCUAAUACCGGAUAAUAUUUCGAACCGCAUGGUUCGAUAGUGAAAGAUGGCUUUGCUAUCACUUAUAGAUGGACCUGCGCCGUAUUAGCUAGUUGGUAAGGUAACGGCUUACCAAGGCAACGAUACGUAGCCGACCUGAGAGGGUGAUCGGCCACACUGGAACUGAGACACGGUCCAGACUCCUACGGGAGGCAGCAGUAGGGAAUCUUCCGCAAUGGGCGAAAGCCUGACGGAGCAACGCCGCGUGAGUGAUGAAGGUCUUCGGAUCGUAAAACUCUGUUAUUAGGGAAGAAUAAACGUGUAAGUAACUGUGCACGUCUUGACGGUACCUAAUCAGAAAGCCACGGCUAACUACGUG
Molecule: ribosomal RNA, 497 nt
Filed under: uncultured bacterium
Lineage: Bacteria
Description: partial 16S ribosomal RNA
Rfam family: Bacterial small subunit ribosomal RNA
Source: RNAcentral